Molecule: long non-coding RNA, 304 nt
Organism: Syzygium oleosum
Lineage: Eukaryota; Viridiplantae; Streptophyta; Magnoliopsida; Myrtales; Myrtaceae
Exons: 3
Source: RefSeq, a predicted model, not a curated record
AUUUUGUCUAUUCCUGUAACUACCGUUGCUUCAGAGUUUACCUUCGGUACAUCUGGUUGUGUGCUUGAUGGCUUUAGAAGUUCUUUGACUCCUAGAGUCUUGAAAGCUUUGAUUUGCACUCAAGAUUGGUUGAGAGCAGUUAUCGAGCCGAUUAAUGUUGAAGAGUGCAUCGAGAACGCGGAAAAGUUUGAGUUGGAUAUGGAUCAUGUUAACGUGGAGAUUAACGGUACAUAGAGUUUACAAGUUGAAGUGAAAGGAAUAUAUGUGGAGGUUGGAACUUGGAGUUUUAGAGUACUCAAAGCCU